AUAUCUGGAGCGCUUAUUCACACGGACACGUUUUGUUUAUUUAUUGUGUUAUUUUUGAUACCUUUUUUCUAUUAUGUUGCCUCUUCAAAUCUGUGGACCAGCCGGCCAGUGGGCACAAGGGUUUGUCUGAUUGGGAUUACAUACAUGAACAUUGAGACAUUGUGCUUGCAUACCGGCUUUCUCGCAUCUGGAAUGUCGUUAAUUUAUUUUUAGAAAAUUGUAACUUCGAUUUAAACUGCUUUGUGCUCGUCGUGGUUUGUCUGUCACGUCCAUAUAACCGGUAGGCUAUGAGCACGAACUGCUCUCGAAUGGUUUAGGCAAUUGUGUUCGAGAGGAAUGUUGAUUAAUAUUUAUUUGACGCUUCGUUUCGGAAUUGUGCGGGCUAAUUGUCAAGUGACGCGCGAGCGCUGGUCUCUUGAUGAAUGCAGUGACAGAGGCAACAACUGACUGACCAAUUAAUCUUAUUUUGCGUACAACUCCGCUUUACCAAACAACAUUUGUAAAGCCACGCGAUCUGUAUAAACUGAUUUUACAUUCCGUGAAGUGUCACAUAUCCCUCACGUUGAAACUCGAUGACAGCAGCAUACUAAAAACAGCAGUUCGUACAAACACUUGUUGUUUAGGCCCACGGAUAUUCAAUAUAUGUUUAUAUGCGCGUUAACUGCGUUAAACUGUUUGCUCGUGAACGGUCUUUGCUAGUUUGUUUUUAUAAUAUAUUCUUCUUAAAGCGUCGAAACUUUUAAAAACUGAAAUUAAGCUGCAAAAACCGACAUAUUAGCAUCUCUAGUUAACCCCAGGCCUCCGUUUAUUAGCCUGUAGGGCACACAGUAGUUAACCUGUAGUAGUUUUAAUGCCUUUUUUUCCAGAGGUACCGCAAAAUAUUGGAGAAUAAAAAGAAUUUCUGAUAUUCAUCUGUCGUAACUCUCUUCAAAGUUUUACUCAUCUUUUUUUUUAAGUUACGAUGCAGAUGUGGACAUGUUUUAUUCUGUCAAAGUGGCCAUGCGGUGGUUUUGAAAAGCAUCUGUCAGAAAGCAUAAGGAGGAGGAGAUGACACGUCUGUUUGCUGCUUUGAGCAUAUUCUCUUCCUCUUUCAAGUUAACAUUUUUUUCUUAUUGUCAAGCGCGAACAGUCAGUGCAGGUCCAAACGCACGUCAGGCGUCGUGUUUUCCAGAAUACACUCGCAAAAUAAGUCUAGCAAGCUCCCCGAGUUUACUCAUUCGGUUAUAACAGUAGUUACUGCGAUAUCCCCUGAGACACAUCAACUCAUAAGAACACCUGAUAAAGAGAGAGAAGUUAAAGUAUUUUAGAUGACCCAUCAGAUUAACUGAAGACCAUAAUUUACCUCAAGUAUUCAGAGAUCAGCUAACGCUGGUUUAGCGAGCACAAUCCUCGAUGUUUGUGUGAGGGAUAAAACGUUAUUUUUUAGCACAUAUAUUAGUCUAUAUUUUUGCAUAUAUCGUCUCUGAUGCAUGUUUUGGUCUCCAGGAGAUUAAUUUUUGUAAGGUAAAGUGCUGAGUAACGAACAACAUGAACUUAAUAUGUGAGCAUUCCCUUGGGCAUUCUAUAAUCUCACUUUGUUUUUUGCCACUGAAAUUAAUUAUUAUUGUGUAAUAUGGGCUAUGCAACGUGAACUCUGGAAUGCAAGGAACUUUUCCGCUGGGUCGUAAAUAUUUGGUCUGCUAGUAGUUUUGGAUCUCAUUUGCUCUAGACGUUUUUGUUUUAAGGCCUGUUAAGUUUGUAGAUUUUAACAUGAUGUCCUUGCAUGCUUUUUGUUAUGAAGAUUGCUUGUAAAAUUGGUAAUGUGGAAAACUAUCGAAAUGAACAGCAUAGUGAGUGCUUUAUAUUAUUGAACCCACUUUGCAUAUUUUUGUACAAUCUGCUUAUAACCAUAUGCAUUGUUUGUUAUUUGCUAUUGUGUAUUGUAAAUGUGUGUAGAUGCAUAUUGACAGAUAAUAAAUAAAAUAGUUUUUACUACA
Long non-coding RNA from Danio rerio (zebrafish), 1976 nucleotides. The record is from Ensembl. Lineage: Eukaryota; Metazoa; Chordata; Actinopteri; Cypriniformes; Danionidae.